RNAcentral lists this ribosomal RNA (291 nucleotides) under Triticum aestivum (bread wheat). RNAcentral's name for it is "partial small subunit ribosomal RNA". The record is from RNAcentral. Lineage: Eukaryota; Viridiplantae; Streptophyta; Magnoliopsida; Poales; Poaceae.
AGUGACAAGAUUGAAUGGUUGUUUGGGUUGAAAGGCAAAUACACAACCAAGUCAAUGUAUUCGUACCUGGACAGAAACUUAGGUGGCUGCAAGUACAGGUGGAUUUGGAACGCCAAAUUACCUGCUAAAAUCAAGAUCUUUUUGUGGCAGCUCCUUUAGGACGCGGUACUAACUAGAGAUGUGAUGAAACCUAGAAACUUGGCUGGAAACCUUCGAUGUUCUUUCUGCAGUUGCAGAGAAACUUACCCGCACUUGUUCUUUUUAUGCCCGAUUGCUAGGAUUUCCUGGUGA